This 62-nucleotide ribosomal RNA is filed under the name Thanatephorus cucumeris. RNAcentral's name for it is "partial 18S ribosomal RNA". It matches the Rfam family "Eukaryotic small subunit ribosomal RNA", at positions 1773 to 1831 of the family's 1831-position model. The record is from RNAcentral. Lineage: Eukaryota; Fungi; Basidiomycota; Agaricomycetes; Cantharellales; Ceratobasidiaceae.
UUUUUGGAAGUAAAAGUUGUAACAAGGUUUCCGUAGGUGAACCUGGGGAAGGAUCAUUAUUG